RNAcentral lists this ribosomal RNA (690 nucleotides) under uncultured Nitrosospira sp. RNAcentral's name for it is "bacterial SSU rRNA". It matches the Rfam family "Bacterial small subunit ribosomal RNA", at positions 79 to 765 of the family's 1533-position model. The record is from RNAcentral. Lineage: Bacteria; Pseudomonadati; Pseudomonadota; Betaproteobacteria; Nitrosomonadales; Nitrosomonadaceae.
GCAACCUGGCGGCGAGCGGCGAACGGGUGAGUAACACAUCGGAACGUACCUAUUUGUGGGGGAUAACACAUCGAAAGAUGUGCUAAUACCGCAUAAGUCCUGAGGGAGAAAGCGGGGGAUCGCAAGACCUCGCGCGAAUAGAGCGGCCGAUGUCCGAUUAGCUAGUUGGUGGGGUAAAGGCCUACCAAGGCGACGAUCGGUAGCUGGUCUGAGAGGACGACCAGCCACACUGGGACUGAGACACGGCCCAGACUCCUACGGGAGGCAGCAGUGGGGAAUUUUGGACAAUGGGGGAAACCCUGAUCCAGCCAUUCCGCGUGAGUGAAGAAGGCCUUCGGGUUGUAAAGCUCUUACAGAGGGAAAGAAAUGCAGGGCGGCUAAUAUCCACCUUGCUUGACGGUACCCUCAAAGGAAGCACCGGCUAACUCCGUGCCAGCAGCCGCGGUAAUACGGGGGGUGCAAGCGUUGUUCGGAUUUAUUGGGCGUAAAGCGCGUGUAGGCGGUUUUUUAAGUCUGAUGUGANAGCCCUGGGCUCAACCUGGGAAGUGCAUUUGAUACUGAGUAACUGGAGUUUGGGAGAGGUAAGUGGAAUUUCAGGUGUAGCGGUGAAAUGCNUAGAUAUCUGAAGGAACACCAGUGGCGAAGGCGACUUACUGGCCUAAAACUGACGCUGANGCACNAAAGCAUGGG